UUCAGAUAGUGUCAUGGCUGUUCAAUUUGUGAAGAAAACUCACUAUGUAUUCAGUGUUGGAAAGGACCGCCUUGUAAAGUAUUGGGAUGCUGACAAAUUUGAGUUACUUUUAACGCUCGAGGGACAUCAUGCUGAUGUUUGGUGUCUUGCUAUCAGCAACCGUGGUGAUUUCAUAGUCACAGGAUCUCAUGAUCGAUCCAUACGUCGCUGGG
This 212-nucleotide unclassified non-coding RNA is filed under the name Hevea brasiliensis (rubber tree). The record is from RNAcentral. Lineage: Eukaryota; Viridiplantae; Streptophyta; Magnoliopsida; Malpighiales; Euphorbiaceae.